This 503-nucleotide ribosomal RNA is filed under the name uncultured bacterium. RNAcentral describes it as "bacterial SSU rRNA". It matches the Rfam family "Bacterial small subunit ribosomal RNA", at positions 19 to 518 of the family's 1533-position model. The record is from RNAcentral.
CUGGCUCAGGAUGAACGCUGGCGGCGUGCCUAAUACAUGCAAGUCGAACGAGGUAGCAAUACCGAGUGGCGAACGGGUGAGUAACACGUAGGUAACCUGCCCUUAAGCUUGGGAUACCCAGAGGAAACUUGGCUAAUACCGGAUAACAACAGAGAAGGCAUCUUCUUUGCUUGAAAGGCCCCUUCAAGGGUCACUUAAGGAUGGACCUGCGGCGCAUUAGCUAGUUGGUGAGAUAACAGCCCACCAAGGCGAGGAUGCGUAGCCGAACUGAGAGGUUGAUCGGCCACAUUGGAACUGAGACACGGUCCAAACUCCUACGGGAGGCAGCAGUAAGGAGUUUUCGGCAAUGGGGGAAACCCUGACCGAGCAACGCCGCGUGAGCGAUGACGGCCCUAUGGGUUGUAAAGCCUCUGUUGUAAGCCAUGAAUGAUAGCUUGAGGAAAUGCAAGCUAUUUGACGACAGCUUACCAGAAAGCCACGGCUAACUACGUGCCAGCAGCAGC